UACAGUGUAUUUGGAGGUGGAAUAGGUGAUUGUCCUCUUUGUUUGGUUGCACUCUGGUAACGUAAUCAGAUUACUGUGUGGGUUCUAUAUCUGAUUACGGUGGGGGAGGAGGGGUAACAAGCUUGUAUAUAUAUUAUUUAGGUAAGGGAUUCGAUUACAGUGUCAAUUGAUUACAAACCACCGUAACCAAACAUAUAUAAUGGGAUUCGUUACCUUCAGUAAUCAGAUUACGUACAUUUGAGCCAACCAAACACUACCUGAGUCUUAGGAGAGGAUAAAAUAAUAUUUAGUAAGCGUUUGAUACAGAUUUUACAAUCCACCCUAUCCAUAUUAUAUAAUCCAACAAUAUUCUCAAAUGCAACAUUUACCAAAUUUUAUCCAAUGCUUUAAAUAUCAGGCUAAGCCCUUUAGUUGCCGGGCUCUGCAACAGCUAAGAGAAACUAUAUUUACUCAAAAAAAA
This 460-nucleotide long non-coding RNA is filed under the name Setaria viridis. RNAcentral's name for it is "long non-coding RNA (SVIR_LNC001810)". Lineage: Eukaryota; Viridiplantae; Streptophyta; Magnoliopsida; Poales; Poaceae. The record is from RNAcentral.